CAAUAGCGUAUAUUAAAGUUGUUGCGGUAAAAAAGCUCGUAGUUGGAUUUCUACCGAAGAUAGCCGGUCGGGUCUUCGACCUUGUAUCUGGUUUUGUCUUUGGUAUCCUCAUAGGGAACGUUUCUGCGCUUUAUUGCGUGGUGCGGUAUCUAUGACUUUUACUUUGAGGAAAUUAGAGUGUUCACGGCAGGCAAACGCCUUGAAUAGAUUAGCAUGGAAUAAUAACAUAGGAUCUUCGUCCUAUUUUGUUGGUUUCUAGGGCUAAGAUAAUGAUUAAUAGGGAUAAUUGGGGGCAUCUGUAUCAACGCGUCAGAGGUGGAAUUCUUGGAUUGCGUUGCGACAAACUACUGCGAAAGCAUUUGCCAAGGAUGUUUUCAUUGA
Molecule: ribosomal RNA, 381 nt
Filed under: uncultured eukaryote
Lineage: Eukaryota
Description: partial 18S ribosomal RNA
Rfam family: Eukaryotic small subunit ribosomal RNA
Source: RNAcentral